AUUGAACGCUGGCGGCAGGCCUAACACAUGCAAGUCGAGCGGAGCGGCGGACGGGUGAGUAAUGCCUAGGAAUCUGCCUGGUAGUGGGGGAUAACGUCAGGAAACGGGCGCUAAUACCGCAUACUAUCGGCAGAGCCUAGGUCGGUUUAGCUAGGUGGUGGGGUAAAGGCCGACCAAGGCGACGACCCGUAACUGGUCUGAGAGGAUGAUCAGUUACACUGGAACUGAGACACGGUCCAGACUCCUACGGGAGGCAGCAGUGGGGAAUAUUGGACAAUUGGCGAAAGCCUGGUCCAGCCAUGCCGCGUGGGUGAAGAAGGUCUUCGGAUUGGAAAGCACUUUAAGUUGGGAGGCGUUACCAACAGAAUGAGCACCGGCUAACUUCGUGCCAGCAGCCGCGGUAAUAC
This 407-nucleotide ribosomal RNA is filed under the name uncultured bacterium. RNAcentral's name for it is "partial 16S ribosomal RNA". It matches the Rfam family "Bacterial small subunit ribosomal RNA", at positions 30 to 526 of the family's 1533-position model. The record is from RNAcentral.